Molecule: ribosomal RNA, 253 nt
Filed under: uncultured bacterium
Lineage: Bacteria
Description: partial 16S ribosomal RNA
Rfam family: Bacterial small subunit ribosomal RNA
Source: RNAcentral
UACGUAGGGUGCGAGCGUUAAUCGGAAUUACUGGGCGUAAAGCGUGCGCAGGCGGUUUUGUAAGUCAGAUGUGAAAUCCCCGGGCUUAACCUGGGAACUGCGUUUGAAACUACAAGGCUAGAGUGUGGCAGAGGGGGGUGGAAUUCCACGUGUAGCGGUGAAAUGCGUAGAGAUGUGGAGGAACACCGAUGGCGAAGGCAGCCUUCUGGGCCAACACUGACGCUCAUGCACGAAAGCGUGGGGAGCAAACAGG